GACGAACGCUGGCGGCGUGCCUAAUACAUGCAAGUAGAACGCUGAAGAGAGGAGCUUGCUCUUCUUGGAUGAGUUGCGAACGGGUGAGUAACGCGUAGGUAACCUGCCUUGUAGCGGGGGAUAACUAUUGGAAACGAUAGCUAAUACCGCAUAACAAUGGAUGACACAUGUCAUUUAUUUGAAAGGGGCAAUUGCUCCACUACAAGAUGGACCUGCGUUGUAUUAGCUAGUAGGUGAGGUAAUGGCUCACCUAGGCGACGAUACAUAGCCGACCUGAGAGGGUGAUCGGCCACACUGGGACUGAGACACGGCCCAGACUCCUACGGGAGGCAGCAGUAGGGAAUCUUCGGCAAUGGGGGCAACCCUGACCGAGCAACGCCGCGUGAGUGAAGAAGGUUUUCGGAUCGUAAAGCUCUGUUGUAAGUCAAGAACGGGUGUGAGAGUGGAAAGUUCACACUGUGACGGUAGCUUACCAGAAAGGGACGGCUAACUACGUGCCAGCAGCCGCGGUAAUACGUAGGUCCCGAGCGUUGUCCGGAUUUAUUGGGCGUAAAGCGAGCGCAGGCGGUUUGAUAAGUCUGAAGUUAAAGGCUGUGGCUCAACCAUAGUUCGCUUUGGAAACUGUCAAACUUGAGUGCAGAAGGGGAGAGUGGAAUUCCAUGUGUAGCGGUGAAAUGCGUAGAUAUAUGGAGGAACACCGGUGGCGAAAGCUGCUCUCUGGUCUGUAACUGACGCUGAGGCUCGAAAGCGUGGGGAGCGAACAGGAUUAGAUACCCUGGUAGUCCACGCCGUAAACGAUGAGUGCUAGGUGUUGGAUCCUUUCCGGGAUUCAGUGCCGCAGCUAACGCAUUAAGCACUCCGCCUGGGGAGUACGACCGCAAGGUUGAAACUCAAAGGAAUUGACGGGGGCCCGCACAAGCGGUGGAGCAUGUGGUUUAAUUCGAAGCAACGCGAAGAACCUUACCAGGUCUUGACAUCCCGAUGCUAUUUCUAGAGAUAGAAAGUUACUUCGGUACAUCGGUGACAGGUGGUGCAUGGUUGUCGUCAGCUCGUGUCGUGAGAUGUUGGGUUAAGUCCCGCAACGAGCGCAACCCCUAUUGUUAGUUGCCAUCAUUCAGUUGGGCACUCUAGCGAGACUGCCGGUAAUAAACCGGAGGAAGGUGGGGAUGACGUCAAAUCAUCAUGCCCCUUAUGACCUGGGCUACACACGUGCUACAAUGGUUGGUACAACGAGUUGCGAGUCGGUGACGGCGAGCUAAUCUCUUAAAGCCAAUCUCAGUUCGGAUUGUAGGCUGCAACUCGCCUACAUGAAGUCGGAAUCGCUAGUAAUCGCGGAUCAGCACGCCGCGGUGAAUACGUUCCCGGGCCU
This 1369-nucleotide ribosomal RNA is filed under the name uncultured bacterium. RNAcentral's name for it is "bacterial SSU rRNA". It matches the Rfam family "Bacterial small subunit ribosomal RNA", at positions 28 to 1381 of the family's 1533-position model. The record is from RNAcentral.